Molecule: long non-coding RNA, 369 nt
Filed under: Dromaius novaehollandiae (emu)
Lineage: Eukaryota; Metazoa; Chordata; Aves; Casuariiformes; Dromaiidae
Description: lncRNA (ENSDNVG00000012721.1)
Source: RNAcentral
GGGGUUUGCUGUGCAAGCUGUCGCCCGGCGCCGCGGUGCCGGGUCGGACCAGCCUGUCCCCUUGCAGCUGCCCGCGGCCCCCAGACGUGCUUUGUCGAGCAGUUGCGCCGCGGCGGUUUGCCGUGUUUUGUGCUAACUCUGUCACACCGCUCCUAUUUUUAGCGCUGAGGAAUACAACUGCCUCUCCUCUGCACCGCGAGCAGCAGCCCGGGCUUCCGUGCACAACGGCACGCACGUUGCAAGGGCUUUUAUUUCCCCGACGGGCAUACUGAAGUGGAACGUCUGAUCACUGGGAUAAACACUUCCCAAGAUAAAGUCAUUUUGCCUUUGAUUAAUAAAGAACAUCCUGAGAAAAGAAUUGGAACUGUG